GACGAACGCUGGCGGCGUGCUUAACACAUGCAAGUCGAACGGAAAGGCCCUGCUUUUGUGGGGUGCUCGAGUGGCGAACGGGUGAGUAACACGUGAGUAACCUGCCCUUGACUUUGGGAUAACUUCAGGAAACUGGGGCUAAUACCGGAUAGGAGCUCCUGCUGCAUGGUGGGGGUUGGAAAGUUUCGGCGGUUGGGGAUGGACUCGCGGCUUAUCAGCUUGUUGGUGGGGUAGUGGCUUACCAAGGCUUUGACGGGUAGCCGGCCUGUGAGGGUGAACGGCCACAUUGGGACUGAGAUACGGCCCAGACUCCUACGGGAGGCAGCAGUGGGGAAUAUUGCACAAUGGGAGGAAGCCUGAUGCAGCAACGCCGCGUGCGGGAUGACGGCCUGCGGGUUGUAAACCGCUUUCGCCUGUGACGAAGCGUGAGUGACGGUAAUGGGUAAAGAAGCACCGGCUAACUACGUG
This 468-nucleotide ribosomal RNA is filed under the name uncultured bacterium. RNAcentral describes it as "partial 16S ribosomal RNA". It matches the Rfam family "Bacterial small subunit ribosomal RNA", at positions 28 to 507 of the family's 1533-position model. The record is from RNAcentral.